CCUACGGGAGGCAGCAGUGAGGAAUAUUGGUCAAUGGACGAGAGUCUGAACCAGCCAAGUAGCGUGAAGGAUGACUGCCCUAUGGGUUGUAAACUUCUUUUAUAUGGGAAUAAAGUGUUCCACGUGUGCGUUUUUGUAUGUACUAUAUGAAUAAGGAUCGGCUAACUCCGUGCCAGCAGCCGCGGUAAUACGGAGGAUCCGAGCGUUAUCCGGAUUUAUUGGGUUUAAAGGGAGCGUAGGUGGAUUGUUAAGUCAGUUGUGAAAGUUUGCGGCUCAACCGUAAAAUUGCAGUUGAAACUGGCAGUCUUGAGUAAAGUAGAGGUGGGCGGAAUUCGGGGUGUAGCGGUGAAAUGCUUAGAUAUCACGAAGAACUCCGAUUGCGAAGGCAGCUCAAUGGACUGCAACUGACACUGAGGCUCGAAAGUGUGGGUAUCAAACAGGAUUAGAUACCCCUGGUAGUC
RNAcentral lists this ribosomal RNA (461 nucleotides) under uncultured bacterium. RNAcentral's name for it is "partial 16S ribosomal RNA". It matches the Rfam family "Bacterial small subunit ribosomal RNA", at positions 338 to 795 of the family's 1533-position model. The record is from RNAcentral.